GACAGAGGGUGCAAGCGUUAAUCGGAAUGACUGGGCGUAAAGGGCGAGUAGGCGGUAAAAUAAGUUACAUGUGAAAUACCAGGGCUUAACCUUGGGGCGGCAUGUAAUACUGUAUUACUAGAGUGCAGCAGAGGAGAGUGGAAUUUCCAGUGUAGCGGUGAAAUGCGUAGAUAUUGGAAGGAACACCAGUGGCGAAGGCGACUCUCUGGGCUGUUACUGACGCUGAGGCGCGAAAGCGUGGGGAGCAAACAGGAUUAGAUACCCCCGUA
Molecule: ribosomal RNA, 269 nt
Filed under: uncultured prokaryote
Description: partial 16S ribosomal RNA
Rfam family: Bacterial small subunit ribosomal RNA
Source: RNAcentral